GACGAACGCUGGCGGCGUGCCUAAUACAUGCAAGUAGAACGCACAGUUUAUACCGUAGCUUGCUACACCAUAGACUGUGAGUUGCGAACGGGUGAGUAACGCGUAGGUAACCUGCCUGGUAGCGGGGGAUAACUAUUGGAAACGAUAGCUAAUACCGCAUAAUAUUAAUUAUUGCAUGAUAAUUAAUUGAAAGGUGCAAUUGCACCACUACCAGAUGGACCUGUUGUAUUAGCUAGUAGGUGAGGUAACGGCUCACCUAGGCGACGAUACAUAGCCGACCUGAGAGGGUGAUCGGCCACACUGGGACUGAGACACGGCCCAGACUCCUACGGGAGGCAGCAGUAGGGAAUCUUCGGCAAUGGACGAAAGUCUGACCGAGCAACGCCGCGUGAGUGAAGAAGGUUUUCGGAUCGUAAAGCUCUGUUGUAAGAGAAGAACGGGUGUGAGAGUGGAAAGUUCACACUGUGACGGUAUCUUACCAGAAAGGGACGGCUAACUACGUG
This 503-nucleotide ribosomal RNA is filed under the name uncultured bacterium. RNAcentral describes it as "partial 16S ribosomal RNA". It matches the Rfam family "Bacterial small subunit ribosomal RNA", at positions 28 to 507 of the family's 1533-position model. The record is from RNAcentral.